Pseudonaja textilis is the source of this 188-nucleotide non-coding RNA. NCBI's taxonomy places the organism in Eukaryota, Metazoa, Chordata, Lepidosauria, Squamata, Elapidae. The record is from RefSeq and is a predicted model, not a curated record.
GGAGCCGUUAAAAAGGUCACGUGAGAAGACCUGCCGACUACAGAGAACGAAGGGAAAUGGAGACGCUCGUCUUUUUAACGGAUAACUAGAGUUGAUUGCGUAUGUUAUUAGGCUUUCCUUUGGAAUUCCCUCAAAAGGCUAUUUUGUCGGUCCACCGCCCAAAGUCUCACCACUUCAAGUGCAUUCUU